Long non-coding RNA from Lagopus leucura (white-tailed ptarmigan), 642 nucleotides. RefSeq lists it as uncharacterized. NCBI's taxonomy places the organism in Eukaryota, Metazoa, Chordata, Aves, Galliformes, Phasianidae. The transcript has 3 exons. The record is from RefSeq and is a predicted model, not a curated record.
UUUCGGGGUCCCUGCACUUUCUUCAGGUCCGGAUCACAGCCACACAAAGAGGGAAACUGUGGGAAGAAGGCUGCAUCAUCGCACCAGCGACUCCAGCCACAGCCUCAAUGCUAUUGCAAAGCUGCAGAAGAAACUUUUGCCUCCGGGUUUAAGUAGUGCAAGCAAUCUGCUCUGAGGAGGACAGAGGCAGGAUGCUGAAGACUGUUGGAACAGAUAGCGUCUCUAGACACAGUGUAAAAGCUAUCAGAGGACCCCAAAAGAUGACAGUGAGACGGUUGGGGGCAAGAGCAACACCUACCCAAGGAAGACAGGCUGAGGGAAUUUGCUUCAAGAUGAAAAGGCUUUGGGAGCCUUCACACCAGAACUAAAAACAAAAAACAAAACACAACAAAAAAACUUUUCACCCUUGUGGACAGGCAAGCAGAGUAGCAGGUUUCCCGGGAAGGUUGUGCAGUCUCUGAAACUGGAGUUUUUAGGAUAUGGCCAGAUAAACCCUGAGCAGUCUGCUCUGACUCCACCGUCUGACCAUGCUUCAAGCAAGACCUUGGGGGACCUCCCAAGGUUCCAUUCAAACUGAAAUAUUCUCUGGUCCUAUGAUGUGUUUAGCUGGCCAGAAACCCAGUAUAUGCAAGGGGGUAAGGA